GAUGAACGCUGGCGGCGUGCCUAAUACAUGCAAGUCGAGCGAACAGACGAGGAGCUUGCUCCUCUGACGUUAGCGGCGGACGGGUGAGUAAAACGUGGAUAAACUACCUAUAAGACUGGGAUAAAUUCGGGAAAACGGAGCUAAUAACGGAUAAUAUAUUGAACCGCAUGGUUCAAUAGUGAAAGACGGUUUUGCUGUCACUUAUAGAUGGAUCCGCGCCGCAUUAGCUAGUUGGUAAGGUAACGGCUUACCAAGGCGACGAUGCGUAGCCGACCUGAGAGGGUGAUCAGCCACACUGGAACUGAGACACGGUCCAGACUCCUACGGGAGGCAGCAGUAGGGAAUCUUCCGCAAUGGGCGAAAGCUUGACGGAGCAACGCCGCGUGAGUGAUGAAGGUCUUCGGAUCGUAAAACUCUGUUAUUAGGGAAGAACAAAUGUGUAAGUAACUAUGCACGUCUUGACGGUACCUAAUCAGAAAGCCACGGCUAACUACGUG
Molecule: ribosomal RNA, 497 nt
Filed under: uncultured bacterium
Lineage: Bacteria
Description: partial 16S ribosomal RNA
Rfam family: Bacterial small subunit ribosomal RNA
Source: RNAcentral